Molecule: non-coding RNA, 312 nt
Organism: Peromyscus maniculatus bairdii (prairie deer mouse)
Lineage: Eukaryota; Metazoa; Chordata; Mammalia; Rodentia; Cricetidae
Source: RefSeq, a predicted model, not a curated record
UACAGGAAAACCAGACAAAGUUACUUAUGGUGAAAACAUAGAAGUUACUACUGGAAGUUUGUUGGAACUGAACUUUUGGGGUGACACAAUACUUUGACUGGGUUUCCCAGGCUAUAAGGCUCAACAGAUUCCUAUGUUCCUAAAAUCUCAAAGAAUACAAACCAUAGAAAGUCAUGGCUAACUGACCUAUUUUAUCCUCUGAGAAUGAAGACAUCCAGCUAAGGAAUCUGAAGACCUUUGGACAAGUGAGACAUCUGAAGAACAAUGAAGAAUCAUCCAGAGAAAAUAUCCCAAGUAAAAGAGUAAAUUAAC